Long non-coding RNA from Gallus gallus (chicken), 1526 nucleotides. The record is from Ensembl. NCBI's taxonomy places the organism in Eukaryota, Metazoa, Chordata, Aves, Galliformes, Phasianidae.
AUCUUCUGGUGCAUGUUUUCUCCAAAGAACCUACCCUCUCUUUACGAUCCCCCUGGCAAUCAGAUGUGCUGGGAAGAAGCUGUUUACAGGCAGAGGAGAUGUCAUGCAGCACGAUGAAGACGCUGGCUGGUGCAUACUCCUCCAGCAGCCCAGGAAUAACAGCUGUCACAGAUUGCUGUGGUCAAAGCGUUAGCCCAAUGGACAUGAGGAAAAGCAAAGAAGGAACGCCAACUAACAACACAUUUUCCAGAAGAGACGACACAUGCUUCUUUUGUGGCUCACAACAUAUUCUACAUACGACUUCACAGUGAAGCAGAUGACGAAUGAAAGAUUGAUGCAACUAAGUAUUAAGAGGCUCAGACACAAGAAGAAAAUCUGCGGGGAAACUUCUUUGCUCACACUUCUGACAUUAAGCCAGGAGAACCUUCUCGUGCCCUGGCAAAGCCUGCACCAGUGGAAAAGUUUAGGAAAAUGAGAGACCCAGUUAACCAGUUGCUGGGAAACAAAAUGACAAAUAGUACUAUUUGUCAAAGAUCCUCAUUUCUGCAGCUGGCCCUUUGUUAAAGAACUAUAGUGGUUACUGGAGCAGAGAAUGAAGCAAUUGCUGGCCCUUCAGCAGCUGAGCAUGGGACUGGCAGUUCUGCCCUGCCCUAGGUAUUCCUGUGCCAUCCACUGGAGGAAAACUAGAUGUUAGGGUGGACUCUACUGGCAGCACUAUCAGGUAUAGGAACAGAUCCAGAAGCCUUGCCAAAGGAUGACCCAACUCAACAAAAGCCAGACUUAUCUACCUCUAUCAGCCAAACAAAGAAGAAAGAUAUUCCACUUACAAGGCAGGAAGAAAAGAAACAUGGUAUGCUAGGUACCGGUGUUAGUCCAUUGUGACUACUUCUGUGCACUUCAACAACUAUAUGCCUUUCUCCUCUAGCUGUAAUGUUUGGGUACCCACUGGAUGGAGAAAAAGAAGAAGCUAAGGCACAAAGACAUUGUCUAGAGGAUAUACAGGCACCUUAUAUUUAAUUGUUUAAGUUCAGCAUCAAAUACAGCAAGGAAUAAACAUUCCCUUGCUUUAUAUUCAAUAAUGAACCUUGUUUUCAAGCUUAUACCUGUUACUUCAUUGCCCAGCAAGUAGUACUUCUGUUACACAGCAUCACAGAAAAGUAAAUUUCUAAAGAAAUAUAUAGGAAAAGGAUAAAUACUUGGAACUAUGAUUGAUAUACUGUUGAUUUAUAAUAAUACCGGAGUUUUCUCCUACAGGUAAAAGGAAAAAAAAAAUAGGUUUCUUUGGCUAGAGUCACAUUUCUCCUGAUUUAGGUGAGUAAUAAAAUUGUUAUGAAAUGCUUUUGGAAAAAAAGUCAUCACUGCACGUGCUUAAUGCUUGUCCCAAGUUUUUCUUCCUCUCAGACAGUCUGGCUUUUUCCUGUGGAUUUGCCCAUCAGAGCUCUGUGUAUGUUUACAGGGCCACAGCUAAAAACCUGCAUGGAGUGAGUCAGAAAUGAUCAUCUCAUCCAUACCAUGUUCCUGUGCAC